GACGAACGCUGGCGGCGUGCUUAACACAUGCAAGUCGAACGGAAAGGCGCUGCUUUUGUGGGGUGCUCGUGUGGCGAGCGGGUGAGUAAAACGUGAGUAAACUGCCCUUGUCUUUGGGGUAAAUUCAGGAAACUGGGGCUCAUACACGGUAGAAGCUCCUGCUGCAUGGUGGGGGAUGGAAAGAUUCGGCGGUUGUGGAUGGACUAGCGGCUUAUGAGCUUGUUGGUGGGGUAGUGGCUUACCAAGGCUUUGACGGGUAGCCGGCCUGGGAGGUGGGCCAGCCACCAGGGUCCUGCGAGAGGGCCCAGUCUCCUACGGGAGGCAGCGGUGGGAAAUAUGGCACAACGAGCGGAAGUGUGAGGCAGCGACGCUGCGUGCGUGAUGCCCUCCUUCUGGUUGAAAACCGCUUUCGCCUUUGACGAAGCGUUAGUGACGGUACUUGGUAAAGAAGCACCGGCUAACUACGUG
RNAcentral lists this ribosomal RNA (468 nucleotides) under uncultured bacterium. RNAcentral describes it as "partial 16S ribosomal RNA". It matches the Rfam family "Bacterial small subunit ribosomal RNA", at positions 28 to 507 of the family's 1533-position model. The record is from RNAcentral.